UUUCCGUAGGUGAACCUGCGGAAGGAUCAUUAUCGUAUCUCCGAGGUGCGAGGGCUGUCGCUGACCCGUACUGUCGGGCACUCUCGAUUGCCCUCACACUCAUCCAUCUCACCCCUAUGUCCACCACCACGUGGGUCCCCGUUUGUCUUUUGCGGAGGCCGGCUCACGUUUUCACACAAACUAAGUAUGCGGUAUAAAAAGUAUUUAUUGUUUUUGCGAUCUCUCAAUCCAUACAACUUUCAACAACGGAUCUCUUGGGUCCCGCGUCGAUGGAAAACG
This 279-nucleotide unclassified non-coding RNA is filed under the name plant metagenome. RNAcentral's name for it is "partial contains small subunit ribosomal RNA, internal transcribed spacer 1, and 5.8S ribosomal RNA". The record is from RNAcentral.